GAUGAACGCUGGCGGCAUGCCUAAUACAUGCAAGUCGAACGAGGGUCCUUCGGGACUCGAGUGGCGAACGGGUGAGUAACACGUAGGGAACCUGCCCGUGCGACCGGGAGAACUUUCGGAAACGGAAGCUGAUACCGGAUAGGGACAGAGACGGCAUCGACUCUGUGUUAAAGGAGCUGCAAGGCUCCGCGCACGGAUGGACCUGCGGUGCAUUAGCUGGUUGGUGAGGUAACGGCCCACCAAGGCGACGAUGCAUAGCCGGCCUGAGAGGGCGGACGGCCACACUGGGACUGAGACACGGCCCAG
This 306-nucleotide ribosomal RNA is filed under the name uncultured bacterium. RNAcentral describes it as "bacterial SSU rRNA". It matches the Rfam family "Bacterial small subunit ribosomal RNA", at positions 28 to 334 of the family's 1533-position model. The record is from RNAcentral.